UACCACUGGGAGCUUCCUUGCU
This 22-nucleotide non-coding RNA is filed under the name Arabidopsis thaliana (thale cress). The record is from RNAcentral. Lineage: Eukaryota; Viridiplantae; Streptophyta; Magnoliopsida; Brassicales; Brassicaceae.